Molecule: long non-coding RNA, 2923 nt
Organism: Hydractinia symbiolongicarpus
Lineage: Eukaryota; Metazoa; Cnidaria; Hydrozoa; Anthoathecata; Hydractiniidae
Exons: 2
Source: RefSeq, a predicted model, not a curated record
GUGAAUUAUUAAUUCCAUUUAUAAUUAAAAAUCAUCAUAAAACCGCGACAUAUGAAUAAAAUAGGUGGCUAAAAUAUAAAAUUAGAACAUAAGAGGCUAAAUUUUGUCAGAAGUGGAAACGUAUAGAACUAAAACUCAACUUUCAAUUUGAAAUGAAACUGGGUAGCCACUUUCCGAACGACUUUAAAAUACUUCGGGUUAGAAAAAAGUAUCUAACCAAAGGUUUUAAAAUUAAAAAUUAGGUUUUGAAUAAUAUAUAGGUCCAGUGGGGAAAUAAUUACUUACCUAUUGCUAAAUAAUUCAAACUUAAUUAAACAACAUAAAAACAUAGUGUUAUAUUUAGAAGAGAAAUAAAAAAUAAACUUAUAAACUGUACUUACAACGAGAAAAUGAUAAUAAUUACACACAAAUGAAUGUUGAGAGGAGGGGAAAAGUGAAAGAAGCUCACAAGAGAGACAGAGAGAGUGUAUAAAGGGAAAAGUCAUGGACAUUCAAAUAGCAGUUAAAGAUAAGAAUUUAAGCUUUUAAAUAAAAAAAGUCAUGAAGAAAGAUGUUGUUACUACAAACGGAUUUUGAAGUGAACACAUAAAGUUUUCCUGAGAUAAUCUUCUAACUUGUCAUAUGUAAUAAUAGCUGUUUGUUUACUCUGCUGAGCGAACUUUUGUCAAGUUUACAGAAAAUCAUUGACAAUUUCACUGGAGCAACAAGUAUAGGAAGUGACAAAGUUUACUAAAUAAAUAUUGAAAAAAAGAAACUAGCAAAGUAAAUACAGGGAAAAAGAAAGCUCUAGGCGUGUGGAAAUCCUGUGACCAUCACGAACAACGUGAGAUGGAUUAACACAUUCACCACGGAUGAAACUUUCACUCUAAAGACAUCUUUCAAGCGUUGUUGGGUACAUUGGGAAUCUCUUCUUGUCAUUUUUAGCUUUUACUUUGUAGGAAAAGUUUUUAAGCAUAACUUGGAGAUGUAGAAAUUAAGUAAAUUUUCGGGCACCCUAAUUUACAAGAGAGAGAAAAAACUAAACACAGGAAAUGUAUUUCUUUCAUAAGAAAAUGUAUCAGUAACAUGUAAAAUAGAACAUGUGUUCUCAACAGCCAAAAGGGUUACAAAUGUAUUCAAAAUGGAGUUGUUGAGGACAAGAAAAAAUAAUGAUAAACAUCUACUUUCUGUUUACUUAGUCAAGAUAAACAUCAAACACUCAGAUCUAAGUAUGGAUGGCAAUUUACAAGAAUAUAAAGCAAUCUUAACAUGAAGGAGACAGUUGUAAUUUGUUGAUACAUAGAUAACAGAUCAAUGAUUGUAUAACAAUGUGACGAUAUUGACAGUUUAGUUGUUCACAAAAAGAGAUGGGAUUGUGUGUGGAUGAAAAAGUUUAUGAAGAAAAAAAUUGUGAUAUAUUUAUUUCAAAAAAAUUGAAAAUGGUAUCCAAGGAGAAGAUAAACAUUUGACAAAAAGAUUUACUCAUGUGCUUUAAAAUUUAUAUCACCCCCUGGUGGGUUCGGUUUCACUUUUAAAAGCUUACAUGCAAGACUUAGAGAAAGUUUGUUGAAUGUUGAAAGAGAAGUGGUUUAAAUCAAUCAGAAUUAGAAAGGUGAUGUUUGAAUGCGUCAAGAAAAACUUUUAAUUAAUUAUAACAGUGUUCUUACAUAUGCAACAGACAAUUCUGUAUGUAUCUCUAUAUAUUCAUAUUAUGGAAAGUAUGUUGUAAUAAUUUUUAAAAUCUGAAAAAGUUAAAAAUUAAAACAUUUUAAUAAGGUAACAUUUAAUGCAAAAAAGAUUUUUUUAAAUCAAAUAUUGUAUUCCUAAGGUAAUACCAAUUUAGUUGCUUUGCUUGCCAAGUUUUAUUUUGUAAGAAUGCCUGACAUCAAACUGGUAUUCGUGGUUUUGUAAAUAAUCUUUAAUACGUCACAUCAAGACACAUUACCACAUAUAUCGUCAACAUUAUGCAUCAUUGUGCAUAAUUAUUUCAUUCAAACUUUGUGUUAAGAAGACAUGGAAGCCAUUGUCACGAAUUACAUGAACCGCUAACUGGUAAAUUCACAUAACAAGAUCAAUCUUCUUCCAAAUUGUUUUUUGCUACUUUUAAUUCCUGAGUUGCGUUUACUUUUGCAAUUUCAUUUUCCCUUUUUCAAAAUCAAAUUCAUGUAACAAAACAUUUUUAAACUCACACUUCAAUUCAAAGAAAUACACUAAAUAAAUCGAAAAAUGGCUCGAAAUUUUUUCGCACUGUAAAAUACUUUAAUAAAUAAUAAACUGCUGUUGUUUUUGUCCUUAGAUUAAAAAUAGCAUGCACACAACUGUGCGAAUAGUGAACAUGAUAAACAGUGUGAUUAUACAAAUAAAACUUUUCAGGGUAACUAAAAAAUUGAAUAAGUUUAGUACAAUUUGAUCUUUUAGGUUUAAAUAACCCUUAAAAAAAAAAAACAUAGCUUCCGUACACAAUUGUCGGAAUUAUAAAGUCAUAGAAAAAAAUAUAUUACAGGAUAUUGGGAUUUCUCCUCCUCCACGCAAAAGAUAAUCAGAAGCUAAAACAACUCAUUAGGGAAUAAUAUAACUGAUAAGGAAACUAUUAAAACAGAUUUAUCCUAAUAAAAACAAGAGAUCAGAUUUUAUAUUGAUUAAUUAGAACUAAAAUACAAAAUACAAAAACAAAACAUAACAGUAUUUUGAUUAUAAAAUUUAAAAUUUAAUAGGUGUUAUUGUAUUUAUUCUUUUUAAGGCAGACUUCAGCAACAGAAGAACUUCUUUUCCAUGUUUUUUAAAGAAUUAGUCCUUAUUUUUUUAUAAUUUCUUAACUCGCAGUCAACAGAAGGUUGUUUAGUGUCUGAUCUGUUACCCCCUGCUAAAUACAGGGUGUGUAUAAUUACUUGCAAUCACUACCAAUUGCUUAAUACUUGACAACCAGGGAGACAAUUUGGACAAA